This 301-nucleotide ribosomal RNA is filed under the name uncultured bacterium. Its description in RNAcentral is "partial 16S ribosomal RNA". It matches the Rfam family "Bacterial small subunit ribosomal RNA", at positions 509 to 807 of the family's 1533-position model. The record is from RNAcentral.
CAGCAGCCGCGGGAAUACGUAGGUGGCAAGCGUUGUCCGGAAUUAUUGGGCGUAAAGGGCUCGCAGGCGGUUUCUUAAGUCUGAUGUGAAAGCCCCCGGCUCAACCGGGGAGGGUCACUGGAAACUGGGAAACUUGAGUGCAGAAGAGGAGAGUGGAAUUCCACGUGUAGCGGUGAAAUGCGUAGAGAUGUGGAGGAACACCAGUGGCGAAGGCGGCUCUCUGGACUGUAACUGACGCUGAGGCGCGAAAGCGUGGGGAGCAAACAGGAUUAGAUACCCGUGUAGUCCCUGUCUCUUAUAC